Molecule: ribosomal RNA, 585 nt
Filed under: Triticum aestivum (bread wheat)
Lineage: Eukaryota; Viridiplantae; Streptophyta; Magnoliopsida; Poales; Poaceae
Description: partial small subunit ribosomal RNA
Source: RNAcentral
AUGCCGCGGCUCCUCCUGCUUCUCUUCCUUUGCGUCUCGGUGUUGGCCGCUGCACCUGCACAGGCCUAUCAAGACAAGUGCGACAUCAAAGCCGCCGUUGGCAACGAUUCAGACACCGGCAAAAAUGAGGCGCCCGGGAUCGACGAUCUGUUCUAUGUUAUGGACAUCGACAUCGAGCUCGAGCAGGCCACCGGCUUGGAAUUGGGUUUGUCUCAGGGUGAUGCUAUCGAAAUGGACCAACCUAUUCCUAGUACCAGCGCCGCCUUCCAAUCACCGGAUUUAAUCAACUGCCGGGCGAUCAACUGGACGAUUGAGGAGCGCCGUCGUGCUUGCCUGGCCCGCAUUGUCAGUCAUGUUUACUCCAGGGAGAAGAAAGCUAUCCCCCUAAGUCCCGACACAGGCUUCCGCCUCCACGGGGAGCCGCUCGAGGACGGCGACUACGUCUAUGCUGCCAUCUACGAGUACGUGGGCCAAGGCCGUGAGGACAAGUCCGCUCCGCACUUGAUCGUCGCCUUCCGAGGCACCGACCUGUGCUGGAAACGGAGGGCGGCGAGGGACGUCUGGUUCAACUGCCUAAUCACUUAG